UCGGAGCGAAAUGAAGUAGUGAAGCUGCGGCCCCUUCCUGUCGAGAAAAGCCGCUAUCGUGUAGCAAGGGCCCGUACCGUAAACCGACACAGGUGGAUGAGGAGAGGAUCCUAAGGCCGGCGGGAGAAGUGUUGUUAAGGAACUCGGCAAAAUGACUCCGUAACUUCGGGAGAAGGAGUGCUGCGCAAGCAGCCGCAGAGAAAUGGCCCAAGCAACUGUUUAGCAAAAACACAGGUCUAUGCGAAACCGGAAGGUGAGGUAUAUGGGCUGACGCCUGCCCGGUGCUGGAAGGUUAAGGGGAGAGCUUAGCAUAAGCGAAGGUUUGAACUUAAGCCCCAGUAAACGGCGGCCGUAACAAUAACGGUCCUAAGGUAGCGAAAUUCCUUGUCGGGUAAGUUCCGACCCGCACGAAAGGCGUAAUGAUUUGGGCACUGUCUCAACAACACACCCGGUGAAAUUGAAAUACCAGUGAAGAUGCUGGUUACCCGCGCCAGGACGGAAAGACCCCAUGGAGCUUUACUCCAGCCUGAUACUGGGAUUCGGUAUUGCAUGUACAGGAUAGGUGGGAGGCUAAGAACUUAUGGCGCCAGCCGUAAGGGAGCCGAUGUUGGGAUACCACCCCUGCAGUACUGGGUUUCUAACCUGCGCCCGUGACCCGGGCGGGGGACAAUGUCAGGCGGGGAGUUUGACUGGGGCGGUCGCCUCCGAAAGGGUAUCGGAGGCGCUCAAAGGUCUCCUCAGGAUGGUUGGAAACCAUCCAGAGAGUGCAAAGGCAGAAGGAGGCUUGACUGCGACACCGACGGGUGGAGCAGGUACGAAAGUAGGACUUAGUGAUCCGGUGGCAUAAAGUGGGAUUGCCAUCGCUCAACGGAUAAAAGCUACCCUGGGAUAACAGGCUUAUCACUCCCAAGAGUUCACAUCGACGGAGUGGUUUGGCACCUCGAUGUCGGCUCAUCGCAUCCUGGAGCUGGAGCAGGUCCCAAGGGUUGGGCUGUUCGCCCAUUAAAGCGGUACGCGAGCUGGGUUCAGAACGUCGUGAGACAGUUCGGUCCCUAUCCGGCGCGGGCGCAGGAUAUCUGAGAGGAGCUGUCCUCAGUACGAGAGGACCGGGAUGGACCGUCCGCUGGUGGACCGGUUGUCAUGCCAAUGGCACGGCCGGGUAGCCAAGACGGGAAGGGAUAAACGCUGAAGGCAUCUAAGCGUGAAGCCCCCCUCAAGAUGAGAUAUCCAUACUCGAAAGAGUGAGAGACCCCUUAGAGACGAUGAGGUAGAUAGGGCAGAGAUGGAAGCACAGCGAUGUGUGGAGUUGACUGUUACUAAUCGGUCGAAAGCUCG
This 1335-nucleotide ribosomal RNA is filed under the name metagenome. Its description in RNAcentral is "bacterial LSU rRNA". It matches the Rfam family "Bacterial large subunit ribosomal RNA", at positions 1556 to 2925 of the family's 2925-position model. The record is from RNAcentral.